GCUUGAACACUCAAAUAGCUAUAUUCAUUAAUGUUGUAAUUGGGCAAUAUCUUAAUGCAUGAAAAGGACGGUACUCUCCAUCAGGUAUUAUAAACGUGUGUUUGGGAACUAAAGGAGGUUCUUAAUUGCUAAAACACUCACAAGAAUCAACUAUGGCAUUGGCAACUGACGUGUUUGGGGAGCCCGUCACCGAAAAUGUUGUGAUGGGAAUCCCGGAGUAUGCGAACAGGGCACGCCAAAUCAGAGCAGAUGUGGCUAGGCGAUGGAAAGAAAGAGAUGAUAAGUACGAAAAGGCUUUGGGAUACGUGAAGGCGUUGAAAAGUCAAUGGGGCACUGGAGUCUCCACACUCUGCCUGGUUUACAAUGCUACCGGUGAACCAUUGACCUUUGUUACCAGUCAUGAUUGGUUUGGGCACAUUUACCAGACAUACCCACGGGUGAUUGCAAAUGGGCAGUGGGGUGGGUUUUUGCAUGUCAAAACUGCUGGGGCAGCUUCUGGUUCAGAGGCAGCCGUUGUUUAUCGCGGCAAAAAUAAGGAUGGAAGAGCCACUGACUGGCUGCUGGCUUGGGACAACCCUUGGAGGAGAAUUGACCUUGACAACCAGGCGUAUGCUGAGAUCCACGCAGCUGGCUACUUUGAAAGGGUUGACUGGGGGGCAAUUGCCAAAUGCUUAGAAGGGGCUACUUCUCAGCAUUAUGCAGCAUGGGAAGGAUGCAUUGCAUACGUAAAGACGGAAAGUGAUACUUCUCCUCUCUAUGAGGCAGUACUUUCACUUGAAUAAGCUGUUUUUAUUAUAUCUAUAACAUCUAUAAGGGUGAGAAAAUGCCACUACCUCGCAGUAUAACAAUAGUCUUUAGCUUUUUGGUUUAAUGGUUGGGAAAGCUUAAAAGAACAUGCAAGUUGGUAAUGAUUGGAAGAGAAAUUUCAAUUUUUUGUUAUUGGAAUGGUAGCAUCAUUGAAGGAUCAAAUGGCUUGCGUUAUAAUGGUCCUCCUUUGAAAGCAAUUAAAUUGAAGCGAAAAACGAAAUUCAACACAUUGAUAGACAAAAUGUAUUGCAUUCUAGAAUUUGAUAGAGAGUGAGUACAACUAAAUUUGAUUUGUCAAUAUCCAACAAUAGUAAAAUCAUCAAUGAUUAAAUAUAUCUAUGUAUUUAUUGUGGAUGAUGGUA
Durio zibethinus is the source of this 1169-nucleotide RNA transcript. It is a transcript of the gene named 23 kDa jasmonate-induced protein-like, with no coding region annotated. The record is from RefSeq and is a predicted model, not a curated record. NCBI's taxonomy places the organism in Eukaryota, Viridiplantae, Streptophyta, Magnoliopsida, Malvales, Malvaceae.